RNAcentral lists this ribosomal RNA (501 nucleotides) under uncultured bacterium. RNAcentral's name for it is "bacterial SSU rRNA". It matches the Rfam family "Bacterial small subunit ribosomal RNA", at positions 28 to 526 of the family's 1533-position model. The record is from RNAcentral.
GAUGAACGCUAGCGGCAGGCCUAAUACAUGCAAGUCGAACGGAUAUAUGUUUUUCGGAAUAUAUAUUAGUGGCGCACGGGUGAGUAACACGUACAUAACUUGCCCUCAAGCGGGGGAUAGCCUUGGGAAACUGAGAGUAAUACCCCAUAGAAUUAUUGGACGGCAUCGUUUGAUAAUUAAAACUACGGUGUUUGGGGAUAGAUGUGCGUCUGAUUAGCUAGUUGGUGAGGUAACUGCUCACCAAGGCGACGAUCAGUAGGGGGCGUGAGAGCGUGGUCCCCCACACUGGUACUGAGACACGGACCAGACUCCUACGGGAGGCAGCAGUGAGGAAUAUUGGUCAAUGGGCGAGAGCCUGAACCAGCCAAGUCGCGUGAAGGAGAAGGAUCUAUGGUUCGUAAACUUCUUUUGCAGGGGAAUAAAGUGCAGGACGUGUCCUGUUUGUAUGUACCCUGAGAAUAAGGAUCGGCUAACUCCGUAGCCAGCAGCCGCGGUAAAGUA